UCAGCCCUCGCACGACCCUGCCUCCCAAUCCCCGUCUCCACCUCCUGCCUCGUGCGCCGCCGUGCGCCGACACCGCCCACCACGCCGGUACGUCUACCCCUGCACGACCGGCCACACGCCGACGACGCUCGAGUGCACCUUCUUGAUCAAGGCAACGCGACGGCUCGAGCGGUUGGGGGCAGCACGGCGGCUCGAUGCGGAACGGCGGCGGCGGCGGCUGGAGCUUGCAGGGGCUGGGGAGGCUGAUUCGAAGGCGGGCGGCGAGGCGGGGGAACGGUGAGGAAGGCCGGAGCGAGGGAUCCGGCGACCUAGGCAGGAGCUCGCCGGAGCCGGGCGAUGGCGGACGGGCGCGCGAGGCAGAGGGAUCCGAUGCGGCGGUUCGAAGUCCUUGCAGGCAAGGGCGGACCUCCAUGGCUGGCAGGGGGGCUCCAAGGCCAUGGCGGGGCUUCGGUUUUCCCUGGUAUAGAAAAGAGAAACAGAAGAGGAUUCAGGGAAAAGAAGAACGGGGAUUCAGGGAGAAGAAGAACGGUGGAAGAAGGAUGGUUGGCCUCCUCGGCGCAUGCCAUACGAUCUAAAGGUUCAUAUCAAACAAGGCAACCACAACAGUACAGCCAUGAUAAUCUCAUGGGUGACAACAGUCAGAACCUGGAUCGAGCACUGUGUUUUACGGGACUUCAGAAGAUAAUCUCAAUUGUUCUGCAAAGGGAAAGCAUUCGCGGUAUACGUUCUACAAAUAUACCUUGGGAUACAUUCAUCAUUGUACAAUCAAGAACCUGAAGUUUGACACAAAGUAUUACUAAGCCGUUGGAACUGAAGAGACGCUGAAAAAGAUUUGGUUUAGGACCCCUCCGAAAAGUGGCCCAGAUGUUCCAUAUACAUUUGGUCUGAUAGGUGAUCUCGGUCAGAGUUUCGACUCCAAUGUCACGCUCGCUCAUUAUGAGUCCAAAUAGUAUGAUGUAAUCCUCUAAGCAUGGUUGACAUACUUGCUUUGUCAUAUUUACUAUCAUAAAUUUCUUUCAAUGGGGUCUCUGGAAAUACUGUUUUCUAUGUGUUCCCAUUGGUGGCUGAAUAAUUUGUCACUUUUUCAAUGGGAUAUAUUUGUUGCUAAUGGUCAUUUAUAAAGAUUUAUAAAGCAUCCAUCUGUGAAUGAAUUUCUGAAUAUUACCAUAAUGUGUAUGAUAAUGGUGGAACACUUAGAUUGUGGUUCAUGACAAAACACUUGUGAUGAUGUUGUUCAACUAUUGUAUGGCAAUUCCAGAUUGUGUGUUUACGUAUGCCUAGCCAACCUUGGUUCAUGAAGCUUUAGAAAUUAGAAGCAUCAUCUUGUUUCAGAAGGUAAAGAAAGAAGGUGUGGUGAUACUUCUUCUCCUCCCGUUGCAACGCAUCCGGAGCUCGAGCGGGCCGAUUUGCGCAGAGGCUGAGGAUGGGAUGGUGUGCUGCGCUCGAGACGAGAGGGCUCGAUUAAGGGGAUUGGAGGGUGGCGCCGGCGGGCUCGCGGACGGGGAUGGAGAGGGCGGGUGCCAGCAAGAUCGAGCCGGGGAUGGAGAGGGCGGGGGUCGGCGAGCUGGAGGUUGAGGAUGGGAAGAGGUGGCGCUGCCGGCGGCCACGAGCGGAGGAGGGCACGCAGCUUCUCUCGCCAUGUGUAGAUACAGUACUAUUUUACAGGCGCAGACAGGAAGGCAGUACAUUGUUCUUGCGGUACGCUGACGCAUUUGAUUUGCCCGUGCCAUCUAGGAAGGGCUGGUUCUACUGCUAGAUGUUGGCCCGUCGAUGCACUGGGAGCUGCAGGAAGUCGAGAAUGUCUCCACCACCCUUGUGCGCAAGAAGGCAAGCAACACGAGGAGCGGCGAUGGCCGCUGCCUGAGCCUGGCGUUCUUUUUGUUGAGAAUCCCUGAGCCCGGUGGUGGUUAUCGCGAGAACCAGGACAACGGAAGCCAGGUGGCAUCACUGGUCCGUGUAAAACAGGUUUAAACUUGGUGAAGCCAUUGAACAACACUCUUGCUUUCUUCUGUUAGGACCCUUUAUCAACCAUUGAGCCACGCCAAGUUUUUGAGAUGGUAAUGAAGCCUGCCACAUUAAAUUUGUCCCUCCCCUUGGUUCUUUGUUAUUUAUUCUUUUGAAUUCCUGAAAUUUCUCUCCAAAAUAAGUCUUUCUUUGCCAGAAGAUUGAACUGUUUCUUUUCAGCUACGAUCAUCUAAUCUCAUAUGUGUGUUCGUUUGAACUUUAUUUACUCUUUUGACUGUUGAUUUGGUUUGCUUUGCCUGAAGAUUGAACUAUUUCUUUUACUGUUGAUUUAUGAACUCCAAGUACUGAUGUGCAUAAUUAAGCAUCUGUUCAUCAGGUGUCAUUGUAUAUGGACAAGUCUGCAGGGGUUUGCCAGUCGGACUUCCAUGAUUGCAAAUUGUCGUUCCUGCAACUUAUAUGUGAUCAUGAUCUUUUUGUUGAGAUGACUGGUAUGUAUCCCGCUGUAAAUUCAUGGACUACCAACCUAGGGAACUAUAAAUAUUCCGGUUUGCCAAACUAUUUUAAUAGACCAGCAAUAUUGUUCAGAGACUUCGGUCCUCCUCCACAGCGGGAUGCGACCUCCCUGGAGCAGCGGGUCAGGCGCAUCGUCGGAGGGGGAGAAGAGCUUGUUAUCUACAUGACUACAUCAAUGUUGAGUGAACCGCCGUCGAACUGAAGCGCGCCUCCUAUAGCUGCGACCCUGUGUUGGCCCUGCCCGCGUACGUCCGCUAAGACCAGAAACAGAGCAGGAAAGGAGUUCAAAUGACCUCUCUCUAUUUUUCCUCCCUCUGGGAGGGAGUUGCCAAAGCAGUUAAGGCAUGCGGAGGUUUGAAAGUUGCGCAGGAGGCGGCCUAAGGGUGGGACGACGUACAAUCCCUCUACUGUCAUUUUAUACUCUGAUUUUUUUGCUGCAUGCACAGGUGUUUCAGGCAGAAACAGUAAUAGCAUCGACUAGGAGGAGCAAGACAAGAAGCAGCGACAGCUACCAUUGCUGGCUAAGCUAUCUGCUACGAUGCCCGCCUCUCUUUGCAACGGCCAAAGCACACAACAAUCCAUAUUUUGGUGAAUUUUUUCUCCCCACUUUGGUGACUUGGGACGGGUUGUGGGCAACAGCAGUUUGAAAGAAUCGGUAGUAGAAACGUGAAUGUUAAAGCUAAUGGGCUAAAAACUAUAAGGAUACUUGAUUUGUUUCCAUGUCUACCUUUCAGUAUUCAGCCUUGCGAGAAAAUGUGCCUCGGGAUAGAAGCUUGACAUAGGUGUGGCCUUGAAUGCCAGGAUUUUAUGAGUAUCCUGACUCUUCUGUUCUCAUUACAGAAUCAGAAUUCAAAAGAUCAAUGUACUAAUGCAUUUCAAGUUUUCAA
Long non-coding RNA from Triticum dicoccoides, 3365 nucleotides. RefSeq lists it as uncharacterized. Lineage: Eukaryota; Viridiplantae; Streptophyta; Magnoliopsida; Poales; Poaceae. The record is from RefSeq and is a predicted model, not a curated record. The transcript is spliced from 4 exons.